CAAUAAUAAUGAAUUAUAAUAAUAGAACAAUAACAAAGGAACUAAAUUUUGUUGAAUUUAAUAAAGCUUUAGCUAAAAGUUUUAAUAACAGCUUUCCACCGUCCGCCAUUGUUUGUGGCGUCCUGACGCUAGAUUUGGCUUCAAAAUGCCGUUCCCUAAAGAAAAUAACAAUAGACUUAUUGUUUCGUAUAGUUUGAUCUAUGGAGUGAUCAGUGAUAAUGUUGAGAGAUCAAGGAAAUGAGGACCCUAAAAAUCAAGAGCCUUAUAAGACGCGAGGGUCCAUUGACAUCGUCGCUCUUAAAAAGCAACUCUCUCCUGAAGAGUUUUUCAUUGCUAGCUUAUUGACCAACAUUCCAACUGAAAGUGUAUCUACAGUUGACGAUCUCAAUAGCAAUAAGGUUGGUGUUGAACAAGAAGAAUGUCUAGCAGCUAACACCACACACUUAACAGGGAAAAGGCUGGAUUUGUCUGAUAGGACAAUGAAAACCAAACUUAAAAGGAGUUAGAAAAAUUGCAGAAGAAGAAAUUAAAAAAGAAAAAUAACAAGAAGUGGUCCUGAAUUGCCAAACUUGCACAAGCCACCGAGGCAGCAUCAGUGUCAUCAACCUCUGAUCCGACAGAGUUUGUCAAAACAGGUAUUCCUGAACCAAGACCAACAAGUACACUGCUAACACAAAUUUUCAACAGUGAAGGCUGCCUAGUAUUCAACAAAUUUGAUUUAGGAGAACUAUCUUAUCCCUCACCCAUUCUGAACAAGACCACUUUAGAUUCAAAAGUGGCAACGAUAAAAAAAAACUCAAAGCCAAAGUGAAAAUCUUGGAUGGCCAAACUGAAGUUGAAUGCGAGAAGUAUUGAAGAGAAACAGGCGUGAAAAGGUGCUCUGCAAAGAGCAGAAGGUUUUCAGGUGAAAAACAAUGUGGAAUUGCUUGCUAAAUCUAUUAAGAAACAAGAUGAAAUCAAAUCAAAUUGUAAAAGAAGUUGGCUGAACGCAUCGAAGAAUAGGAAAAGAGAAAGAAAUAACAACAGAAAACGAGAAAAGCAAACACUAAGAAAAAGAAAACUGAAAAUAAAGAACAUAAACCGAAUGAACACCUCACACUUAACAGGGAAAAAGCUGGAAUUGUCUGAUAAGACAACGAAAAUCAAACUUAAACGGAAGUUAGAGGGAAUGAACAAGAAAUUAAAAAGGAAAAGUUAGAAGAAGAGGUCCUGAAUUGCCAAACAUGCUCGAGCCACCAAGGCAGCAUCUGUGUCAUCAACCUCUGGUCUUUCAGAGUUUGUUAAAACAGAAAUUCCUGAAGCAAGACUAGCAAGUACACUGGCAACACCAAUUUUUAACAGUGGAGGCUGCCUAGUUUCCGGCAAAUUUGACUUUGGAGAACUAUCUAAUUCCUCACCCAUUCUGAAUAAGACCACUUUAGAUCCAGAAGUGGCAACGAUUAAAAUGAAAGAAAAUAAAACUUAAACCAAAAAUGAAAAUCUUGGUAGGCCAAGCUGAAGUUGAAAAUGCAAGAAGUAUUGAAGAGAAACAGGCACGAAAUGGUGCUCUGCAAAUAGCUGAAGGUUUUCAGGUAAAAGACUAUGUGGAAUUGCUUGCCCAACCGAAUAAUGAACGAGAUCAAAUCAAAUCAGAGAGUAACAAAAAUUGCGCUGAACGAAUCGAAGAAAAGGAAAAGAGAAGGGAAUAACAACAGAAAAGGAGAAAAGCCAACAUUAAGAAAAAGAAAACUGAAAAGAAAGAACAUAAAGUGAAUAAACUAAAGAAAAAAGGCAAAUUUAUCGCAUGAAAAACUGAUACUGACUGAUGGAUCAGCUAAACUUGUGUUCUUUCAUGUGCAGCCAUGUCGUGAUAGUUUUUUAGAAAAAUACACUGAUAUGCCUUCCAUGA
Molecule: long non-coding RNA, 1888 nt
Organism: Daphnia carinata
Lineage: Eukaryota; Metazoa; Arthropoda; Branchiopoda; Diplostraca; Daphniidae
Exons: 6
Source: RefSeq, a predicted model, not a curated record